UCCCUGGUAGUAUAUCGGCUAGUACACGCGCCUGUCAUUGACUUUGUAGUGUACGGUCGCGCGAAAGCGGGGUUCGACUCCCCACCAGGGAG
Non-coding RNA from Abortiporus biennis, 92 nucleotides. The record is from the annotation of a GenBank genome assembly. Lineage: Eukaryota; Fungi; Basidiomycota; Agaricomycetes; Polyporales; Podoscyphaceae.